UAGAGCACGAAGAACCUGGGGGAGUUUGGAGAAAGCUACAGGCCCCAGGAAUAAAGUUGAGGAGGGAGGAGUGUUCAUUCUCCCACUUCCCGCCACCUUCCGUCCACCCUGCCUGGACCAGCGUUCUGCCAACCUGGAGCAGAGGGCCAAAGGCGGGCUCCAGGAUCAGCCCCGCCCCCACACCCACAGCACCCCCGUGAGCUCCACGGACCCCCAGGCAGCCAGACUGCCCCAGAGCAUGGGAGGUGGGAAAUGGCUGUCUGAGCUCUGAUAAAGAUAUCAAAAGAAAAGCUAAUUUAAACGAGUAAUACAUCACAAAUGCCAGGGCAGCUCACCACAAGGAAAUCUAGCAAUGGAGCUCGCCGCACUAACUAUUCAUUAAAUAGGAAAAUAUGGACUUAGAGCCAUAGAGCCCACCUGCCCUGACCACCUUCACCCGGGGCCACUCUGAGGUCUUGGUGCUCUGGGAUUGCUGCCCAGGACGCCAGGUGCAACCUCUCUCUGGGACUCAUCCCAGCCUCAGCCCUCAGCAGCUCCCCUUUCCCUGCCCGGGCUAGGGAGUCUCUCAUCCUGGUUAGAGGGCAGUGCCUCCCUCCCGCUCUGUAUCGUGAGACAAAGUAGCACACGUAGGAAGCUGUGUGUGCUCAUCCUGCCUGCAGGCAGGAUUUCCUGAGCUCCUGACUCAGGACUGGGUGCAGCUUGUGGAAGGAUGCCCCGGAGGCCAUGAGUGGGCUACAGACCAGGUCCCCGUUCUCCUGCCUGAGUCACUGGGUUUUUAGAAAGAUGAGUUCAAUGAUCCUGACUCUUGCUUCUUCCUGCAUGAAAGAUGAUGAUGCUGACAGGAUUUGCAAUUAUGCCCCUAGGAUCCGUGGCCAGAUGCAGCCACACACCCAGCCCUGAGGCUCUGCCCCACUGUCACACCUGGGUACGUGCGGAGCCGCUGCCCACACGCAGGUUGUAGGCUGGAACAGCUCUGGAGCAGCCUACUAGAAACUCUUGGAAAGACCCCUCGGUUGUCAUAUUUAGCAAGGCUUCUGAAUAAAACUAACUUCCAUCCUUUAAAGCCUGAGUUUUCUUGACCUGGCAGUGUCUUGAGAUGUUCUGAGAGGUUCCUCCUCAGACUCCUCCCUCUGUCUCACUGUCUGCCUCUGAGGGGCCCACAGCCAGGUGGGUCAGGCUUCUGGAAGCACCAGGACAGGGUUCCAGGGGACCUUGGUGUUCUGCCCUAUCAGCCCCUCCUCUCAGGCAGCAAGCAGGCCUAGUCCACCUGCUUCAACAGAGUGGGAGACUUACAAAAAGAAAUCACAAAAAAAUAAAAAGCAUCCACUCAUCGCACCAACAAUGGCCAGAAAAAUGUGAAGGUAAGAAGGGAAAUCCAAUUUGCAACACCAAAAAACCAUAAAUUACCCAGUAAUAAGUACAUCAAGGAAGGAGCACAGCCCAUCACUCAGUCCGACUCAGUGGGACAUCG
Molecule: long non-coding RNA, 1471 nt
Filed under: Homo sapiens (human)
Lineage: Eukaryota; Metazoa; Chordata; Mammalia; Primates; Hominidae
Description: non-protein coding lnc-GPIHBP1-3:1
Source: RNAcentral